GGGGAAUUUUCCGCAAUGGGCUGGAGUGACGGAGCAAUACCGCGUGAGGGAAGAAAGCCUUUGGGCGUAAACCUCUUUUCUCAGGGGAGAAGCCCUGACGGUACCUGAGGAAUCAGCAUCGGCUAACUCCGUGCCAGCAGCCGCGGUAAUACGGAGGAUGCAAGCGUUAUUCGGAAUUAUUGGGCGUAAAGAGUCCGUAGGUGGUCGGAUAAGUCUGCUGUCAAAGACCGGGGCUUAACUCCGGAGAGGCAGUGGAAACUGUGCGACUAGAGACCGGGAGGGGUAGAGGGAAUUCCCAGUGUAGCGGUGAAAUGCGUAGAGAUUGGGAAGAACACCGGUGGCGAAGGCGCUCUACUGGACCGGAACUGACACUGAGGGACGAAAGCUAGGGGAGCGAAAGGGAUUAGAUACCCCUGUAGUC
RNAcentral lists this ribosomal RNA (421 nucleotides) under uncultured cyanobacterium. RNAcentral describes it as "bacterial SSU rRNA". It matches the Rfam family "Bacterial small subunit ribosomal RNA", at positions 356 to 795 of the family's 1533-position model. The record is from RNAcentral. Lineage: Bacteria; Bacillati; Cyanobacteriota.